UGGGCGUAAGCGCGCGCAGGCGGUUUCUUAAGUCUGAUGUGAAAGCCCCCGGCUCAACCGGGGAGGGUCAUUGGAAACUGGGAAACUUGAGUGCAGAAGAGGAAAGUGGAAUUCCAAGUGUAGCGGUGAAAUGCGUAGAGAUUUGGAGGAACACCAGUGGCGAAGGCGACUUUCUGGUCUGUAACUGACGCUGAGGCGCGAAAGCGUGGGGAGCAAACAGGAUUAGAUACCCUGGUAGUCCACGCUGUAAACGAUGAGUGCUAAGUGUUAGAGGGUUUCCGCCCUUUAGUGCUGAAGUUAACGCAUUAAGCACUCCGCCUGGGGAGUACGGUCGCAAGACUGAAACUCAAAGGAAUUGACGGGGGCCCGCACAAGUGGUGGAGCAUGUGGUUUAAUUCGAAGCAACGCGAAGAACCUUACCAGGUCUUGACAUCCUCUGACAACCCUAGAGAUAGGGCUUUCCCUUCGGGGACAGAGUGACAGGUGGUGCAUGGUUGUCGUCAGCUCGUGUCGUGAGAUGUUGGGUUAAGUCCCGCAACGAGCGCAACCCUUGAUC
RNAcentral lists this ribosomal RNA (556 nucleotides) under Neobacillus bataviensis. RNAcentral describes it as "bacterial SSU rRNA". It matches the Rfam family "Bacterial small subunit ribosomal RNA", at positions 555 to 1110 of the family's 1533-position model. The record is from RNAcentral. Lineage: Bacteria; Bacillati; Bacillota; Bacilli; Caryophanales; Bacillaceae.